CAGCACCUCAAGUGGUCAGGAUGAUUAUUGGGCCUAAAGCAUCCGUAGCCGGCGCUGUAAGUUUUCGGUUAAAUCUGUACGCUCAACGUACAGGCUGCCGGGAAUACUGCAGCGCUAGGGAGUGGGAGAGGUAGACGGUACUCGGUAGGAAGGGGUAAAAUCCUUUGAUCUAUUGAUGACCACCUGUGGCGAAGGCGGUCUACCAGAACACGUCCGACGGUGAGGGAUGAAAGCUGGGGGCGCAAAACGGAUUAGAUACCCGAGUAGUCC
Molecule: ribosomal RNA, 270 nt
Filed under: uncultured archaeon
Lineage: Archaea
Description: partial 16S ribosomal RNA
Rfam family: Archaeal small subunit ribosomal RNA
Source: RNAcentral